Molecule: long non-coding RNA, 2523 nt
Filed under: Homo sapiens (human)
Lineage: Eukaryota; Metazoa; Chordata; Mammalia; Primates; Hominidae
Description: non-protein coding lnc-FLCN-1:1
Source: RNAcentral
GAGUCACGCGCCUGGGUGUCGGCGGGGCUGCGGGACCGCGAGUGAGUGUGGUCGCUCCUGGUUCUGCCAGCUCCCCUGAGAGCCUGAACCCGGGCUUGAGAGCCUCGCCACCCCGGGUGACAUCCCUGCCGUGGGCUUGGGGGCUCUGGGUGUGAUUCCGCCGGUCCGGGUCCCGCAGCGACCACCUACCCAGCGCAGUCAGGGGCGGGGCUGGGACCCAGAGCGGGACCCCGGCUGCCGAGUCCAGGUGUCCCGCGGGCCUCGAUUUGGGGAGCAGAAAACGCCAGGUCUUCAAGGGUGUCUGCCACCACCAUGCCUGACCCAUUUGGCAGCAGCCUCGUGUGUGGUGGUCUGGUGUGGACGGUGGAAGCGUGAUUCUGCUGAGUGUCAGUGUGACCACUCGUGCUCAGCCGUAUCUCAGCAGGAGGACAGGUGCCGGAGCAGCUCGUGCAGCUAAGCAGCCAACUGCAGAAACGUCAGGCCUGUUGCAGUCUCCAAGGCACCAUGAAUGCCAUCGUGGCUCUCUGCCACUUCUGCGAGCUCCACGGCCCCCGCACUCUCUUCUGCACGGAGGUGCUGCACGCCCCACUUCCUCAAGGGGAUGGGAAUGAGGACAGUCCUGGCCAGGGUGAGCAGGCGGAAGAAGAGGAAGGUGGCAUUCAGAUGAACAGUCGGAUGCGUGCGCACAGCCCCGCAGAGGGGGCCAGCGUCGAGUCCAGCAGCCCGGGGCCCAAAAAGUCGGACAUGUGCGAGGGCUGCCGGUCACUUGCUGCAGGGCACCCGGGAUAUAUCAGCCAUGAUAAAGAGACCUCCAUUAAAUACGUCAGCCACCAGCACCCCAGCCACCCCCAGCUCUUCAGCAUUGUCCGCCAGGCCUGUGUCCGGAGCCUGAGCUGUGAGGUGAGCCUUGUGGCCACAGAGCCUGUCUCUGUGGGAGCCCACAUGCUCCCAGGUGCUCUGGGUGGGCUCGGAGCCAGCAUUGCACAGGGAGGCAGGCACUGGUCCUCUCUCAGGGCGGACCCGCAGAUCAGCACAGCACAGGGUACAGGACGCCUCCCUUGUCCAGAAUUGCGGGAGGAGUCAUGUUGGACUUGCUGAGCAUUUUCUGAUUGAGUGCUAGCUUUUGCACUUUAAGCACCGAACUUUUAUUAUUUGUCCUUUCUUUAUUAUUAUUGUUUUCUUUUUUCCUUCUUUUGUGUCAGGGUCUCGCUCUGUCGUCCAGACUGGAGUGCAGUGGUGCCGUCAUGGUUCACUGCAACCUCAAACUCCUGGGCUCAAGCGAUCCUCCCGCCUUAGCCUCCCAGGUGGCUGGGACCACUGGUGUGUGCCACCAUGCUCAACUGGGGUUUGUUUUUUGUUGUUGUUAAGACAGAGUCUCACUCGGUUGCCCAGGCUGGAGUGCAGUGGUGCAAUCUCGGCUUACUGCAACCUCCACCCUGGGUUUAAGUGAUUCUUCUGUCUCAGCUAUCCUGAGUAGCUGGGACAACAGGCGUGUGCCACCAUGCCCGGCUAAUUUUUUGUAUUUUUAGUAGAGAAGAGAUUUCACCAUGUUGGCCGAGCUGGUCUUGAACUCCUGACCUUGUGAUUUGCCCGCCUCGGCCUCCCGAAGUGCUGGGAUUACAGGUGGGAGCCACUGUGCCCCACCUUUUUAAAAUUUUUUUGUAGAGAUGAGGUCUCAGUAUGUUGCCCAGGUUGGUCUCGAACUCAAGCAAUCCUCUGGCUCAUCCUCCCAAAGCACUAGGAUUACAGGUGUGAGCCGCCAUGCCCAGCCAUGUGUGUCUAUUCUUGAUGGAUGUAUUCCUAAGAUAGGAAGCAUUUCUAGGUUAGGUGGUUCAUUGCAUCAACAUCACCUUUUUUUAUUAUCUCAGUCCUCAUUCCAAGUCUCAGUGAUGAUCCCGUGCUGCUCUCAGCCUGCUGAGGUGUGGAUGAUUUCUUCCUAAACUACGUCGCUGCUGCUGUUGCUCUUGACUCUGAGCUCAGGUCUUUGUUACAAAGAAUUCGUCGUUCAGUUACUAAACUUCCUUGUCAUUGGUGUCCACCCAGUUCGACACACCAAGCUCCCUUACUGUUCUCAUUCAGUGUGGCUGUGUGCCUGCCCUCAACUGUCCUCUCCUUUUAAUUUCCUACCGCUGGUCUGCUAGCAGGCAGCUCGGCAUGUCUGUUAGAAUUGUGUGUUAAGGAAGAGUAAGUAUGUAAUGAGGAGGGACUGAAAUCCUCUUAUAAGAAUAAAGUACGUGGGGCUGGGCAUGGUGGCCCACUCCUGUAAUCCCAGCCCUUUGGGAGGCCAAGGCCGGCAGAUCACCUGAGGUCAGGAGUUCGAGACCAGCCUGGCCAACAUGGUGAAACCCCCUCUCUAAAAAAAAUACAAAAAAAUUAGCCAGGCGUGGUGGCACACUCUUACAAUCCCAGCUACUCAGGAGGCUGAGGCAGGAGAAUUGCUUGAACCCAGGAGACGGAGGUUGCAGUGGGCCAGGAUCACACCACUGCAUUCCAGCCUGGGUGACAAGAGCGAGACUCCAUCUC